RNAcentral lists this ribosomal RNA (295 nucleotides) under uncultured bacterium. Its description in RNAcentral is "partial 16S ribosomal RNA". It matches the Rfam family "Bacterial small subunit ribosomal RNA", at positions 335 to 646 of the family's 1533-position model. The record is from RNAcentral.
UGUCCUACGGGACGCAGCAGUGGGGGAUAUUGCACAAUGGGGGGAACCCUGAUGCAGCGACGCCGCGUGGGUGAAGGAGCGUUUCGGCGCGUAAAGCCCUAUCGGCAGGGAAGAAGGAGGACGGUACCUGACUAAGAAGCCCCGGCUAACUACGUGCCAGCAGCCGCGGUAAUACGUAGGGGGCAAGCGUUAUCCGGAUUUACUGGGGGUAAAGGGAGCGUAGACGGCGAUGCAAGUCUGAAGUGAAAGGCGGGGGCCCAACCCCCGGACUGCUUUGGAAACUGUAUGGCUGGAG